RNAcentral lists this ribosomal RNA (720 nucleotides) under Priestia aryabhattai. RNAcentral describes it as "bacterial SSU rRNA". It matches the Rfam family "Bacterial small subunit ribosomal RNA", at positions 52 to 754 of the family's 1533-position model. The record is from RNAcentral. Lineage: Bacteria; Bacillati; Bacillota; Bacilli; Caryophanales; Bacillaceae.
UACAUGCAGUCGAGCGAACUGAUUAGAAGCUUGCUUCUAUGACGUUAGCGGCGGACGGGUGAGUAACACGUGGGCAACCUGCCUGUAAGACUGGGAUAACUUCGGGAAACCGAAGCUAAUACCGGAUAGGAUCUUCUCCUUCAUGGGAGAUGAUUGAAAGAUGGUUUCGGCUAUCACUUACAGAUGGGCCCGCGGUGCAUUAGCUAGUUGGUGAGGUAACGGCUCACCAAGGCAACGAUGCAUAGCCGACCUGAGAGGGUGAUCGGCCACACUGGGACUGAGACACGGCCCAGACUCCUACGGGAGGCAGCAGUAGGGAAUCUUCCGCAAUGGACGAAAGUCUGACGGAGCAACGCCGCGUGAGUGAUGAAGGCUUUCGGGUCGUAAAACUCUGUUGUUAGGGAAGAACAAGUACGAGAGUAACUGCUCGUACCUUGACGGUACCUAACCAGAAAGCCACGGCUAACUACGUGCCAGCAGCCGCGGUAAUACGUAGGUGGCAAGCGUUAUCCGGAAUUAUUGGGCGUAAAGCGCGCGCAGGCGGUUUCUUAAGUCUGAUGUGAAAGCCCACGGCUCAACCGUGGAGGGUCAUUGGAAACUGGGGAACUUGAGUGCAGAAGAGAAAAGCGGAAUUCCACGUGUAGCGGUGAAAUGCGUAGAGAUGUGGAGGAACACCAGUGGCGAAGGCGGCUUUUUGGUCUGUAACUGACGCUGAGGCGC